CUACGGGCCGCAGCAGUGGGGAAUAUUGCACAAUGGGCGCAAGCCUGAUGCAGCAACGCCGCGUGAGGGAUGAAGGCCUUCGGGUUGUAAACCUCUUUUAGCAGGGAAGAAGCGAAAGUGACGGUACCUGCAGAAAAAGCACCGGCUAACUACGUGCCAGCAGCCGCGGUAAUACGUAGGGUGCAAGCGUUGUCCGGAAUUAUUGGGCGUAAAGUGCUCGUAGGCGGUUUGUCACGUCUGCUGUGAAAAUCCAAGGCUCAACCUUGGACUUGCAGUGGGUACGGGCAGGCUAGAGUGCGGUAGGGGAGAUGGGAAUUCCUGGUGUAGCGGUGGAAUGCGCAGAUAUCAGGAGGAACACCAAUGGCGAAGGCACAUCUCUGGGCCGUAACUGACGCUGAGGAGCGAAAGCGUGGGGAGCGAACAGGAUUAGAUACCCCGGUAGUC
This 444-nucleotide ribosomal RNA is filed under the name uncultured bacterium. RNAcentral describes it as "partial 16S ribosomal RNA". It matches the Rfam family "Bacterial small subunit ribosomal RNA", at positions 339 to 795 of the family's 1533-position model. The record is from RNAcentral.